AAGCUCGUCGUUGAAUUUCGGGAUCAAUUUAUCGGUCGUGCCUACGGUAUGAACUGGUACUAUUGGUUUCUACCUUCUGACGGACUGUGAUGUCAUUAAUUUGGUGUCAUGGGGAAUCAGGACUGUUACUUUGAAAAAAUUAGAGUGUUUAAAGCAGGCACACGCUUGAAUACAUUAGCAUGGAAUAAUGAAAUAGGACGUUUGAUCCUAUUUUGUUGGUUUCUAGGAUUGACGUAAUGAUUAAUAGGGAUAGUUGGG
RNAcentral lists this ribosomal RNA (258 nucleotides) under uncultured Glomeraceae. Its description in RNAcentral is "partial small subunit ribosomal RNA". It matches the Rfam family "Eukaryotic small subunit ribosomal RNA", at positions 624 to 886 of the family's 1831-position model. The record is from RNAcentral. Lineage: Eukaryota; Fungi; Glomeromycota; Glomeromycetes; Glomerales; Glomeraceae.